CAUGUAGAAUGGCCAUUUCUCCAUCUACUUCCGUCUUUUUUUUCUGGCUUCCAAAACAUUAAGUGUUUAAGUUUUAUCUCUACUUUUAUUGUUUUCUCCAAAAUUUAAAUACAUUUUUGAAAUAUUGAACACAAUUGGGGAUUCCCUGAUAGACAAGGGAUUUUGAUAUAUGGUGGCACUAAGGAGUAUCUGAGUGCUUAUGAAAGUCGAUAUGACAAGGCGUGUUAUUGGCACCAAUAGCCGCCGCGUUCCCGUGAUACCGAGCGCGAAGAAUUACAGGAAACUAUCAUGUGAUUAUACUACUAUCAAUGUGACAGAGCGAAGAAACAGGAAAAUGUAGCACUAACAGGAACUGUUGGCAAAUUGAAUCAUCCACUUUGUUCUUCAAUGGAAAGUUCGUAGGAAAUCGCAACUAGAGGGGAACAAUCAUUUUACAUUCUGCUGGCCAUUUGUGACGAUAUUCAGUGGAAAUAAUGAUCGUACUAUGAGAAAAUUCAACACGAAUAUAAUAAUGAAAACAGUUGCCUUAUUGCUUGGAGAUUAACUAUGUUGUUGUUGCAGCCACAUUUGCUUGUGGAGGUGACGAUCCUCGUCAAGCUCUUAUAGGCAAGCAAGCUCGUUUCGGUCUAUACGACCUAUCGACGCGGGAACAUGAUGUCCAUUGGUUAUUUAAAGGAGCCAAUAACACACCUUUUGGUAUCGAACACCAUAGGACUCAGACGGACUAAUUGUCCGCAACUGCCGUUGCAGCUACUGCAUAUGGAGCAUUCGACUAUCCGCAACCUGUGGAGGGGCCCGGUAGCUCACAGCUAAGCUUCUCGUGAUAGCGAUGAACAUCGCACAGAUCGGAUCUCAAAGUUCCAGCUUGUGUCACAGCUCACAGGUAUCCCGUGCAUCUGAGUUGAAUACCUUAGGGAAUAUUUUGUUUAUUGGAAUGAGGGAAGUGACUAUGCAGAAUUACUUCCAAAAUAAGGUGGAUUAUAUGAUUCAUUACAAAUAUAACAGCUCGAAACGUUUAAGGAGGAAUAAUUAACAUUAGAUCAGACAUACAUGGAAGCAAUUUUUCUAAAUGAAUGAUGGAAGUGACUAUGCAGAAUUACUUCCAAAAUAAGGUGGAUUAUAUGACUCAUUAAAAAUAUAACAGCUCGAAACGUUUAAGGAGGAAGGACUGAGCCUGAUUAUAUACAAUUGGAAGUAAUUUUUCUAAAUGGAAAAUGUAAAGCAAAAUUUGGCUUUUGACCAUUCAGCGAGAAAGAAAAUGUCAAUGAAUGAGGGCAUGCUGAACUAGAAAUGAUCCAGAUAUAAUAGAUAAUCAUAUAUUUAUUAUAUUAACCAAAUGCAUUCUUUUAAAUAAAUCAACCCAAGGCAUACGCCUUGAAUCUACCAAUAAAUAAUAAAUGUACAAAUUGAA
Molecule: long non-coding RNA, 1411 nt
Organism: Stomoxys calcitrans (stable fly)
Lineage: Eukaryota; Metazoa; Arthropoda; Insecta; Diptera; Muscidae
Exons: 8
Source: RefSeq, a predicted model, not a curated record